RNAcentral lists this ribosomal RNA (448 nucleotides) under Costasiella paweli. RNAcentral's name for it is "partial 16S ribosomal RNA". It matches the Rfam family "Bacterial large subunit ribosomal RNA", at positions 1816 to 2596 of the family's 2925-position model. The record is from RNAcentral. Lineage: Eukaryota; Metazoa; Mollusca; Gastropoda; Costasiellidae.
AGCCUUAAGGUAUUAGACUAUAUUUAAGGUGAAACCUGCCCAGUGCUAUUUUGUAAACGGCCGCAGUACCUUGACUGUGCGAAGGUAGCAUAAUCAUUUGGCUUUUAAAUGGAGUCGGGUAUGAAUGGGAAAAUGUGGCUAAGCUGUCUCCUUUUUAUUUAAUUUAAUUUACUUAGUAGGUGAAAAUUCCUACUUAUCUAAGAAAAAAGACGAGAAGACCCUAGGAGUUUUUAUUAAGGCUGUGUUUUGACAGUGCCAUUUUUGUUGGGGCAACAAAAGGAAAGUAAAUUGAUCUCCUUUUUAUAAUUGGCCGACUUUAGUAAGAGAAAUUAAACUACCCUAGGGAUAACAGCGUAAUCCGUUAUUGGGUUUGCGACCUCGAUGUUGGACUAGGAAUCAUUUAGGCUAGCCGCCUAAAUAGAAAUGUUCUGUUCGAACUUAAACUCCU